AAAGGGUGGCUCAAAAUGGCCAGAGAGGUGUAUGUGCAUGUAAGCUCACGAUUGGUUGGAAUGGUCUGUGCUUUGCUAAUGGUUAUCACUUUCUGUGAAGAAAUUCUUAGCCAUUGAAAGGUUCAUUUUGGUUAUGAUGAUGACCAAAUUUGAUUCAUGCAUUGGGGCGGUGAGGAUAAUCAAAAGACUUUGUACACUGG
This 200-nucleotide long non-coding RNA is filed under the name Prunus persica (peach). RNAcentral's name for it is "long non-coding RNA (PPER_LNC008299)". The record is from RNAcentral. Lineage: Eukaryota; Viridiplantae; Streptophyta; Magnoliopsida; Rosales; Rosaceae.